Molecule: ribosomal RNA, 301 nt
Filed under: uncultured bacterium
Lineage: Bacteria
Description: partial 16S ribosomal RNA
Rfam family: Bacterial small subunit ribosomal RNA
Source: RNAcentral
CAGCCGCCACGGUAAUACGUAGGGUGCAAGCGUUAAUCGGAAUUACUGGGCGUAAAGCGUGCGCAGGCGGUUAUAUAAGACAGAUGUGAAAUCCCCGGGCUCAACCUGGGAACUGCAUUUGUGACUGUAUAGCUAGAGUACGGCAGAGGGGGAUGGAAUUCCGCGUGUAGCAGUGAAAUGCGUAGAUAUGCGGAGGAACACCGAUGGCGAAGGCAAUCCCCUGGGCCUGUACUGACGCUCAUGCACGAAAGCGUGGGGAGUAAACAGGAUUAGAUACCCCUGUAGUCCCUGUCUCUUAUAC